RNAcentral lists this ribosomal RNA (116 nucleotides) under Pteropus alecto (black flying fox). The record is from RNAcentral. Lineage: Eukaryota; Metazoa; Chordata; Mammalia; Chiroptera; Pteropodidae.
GUCUACGGCCAUGCCACCCUGAACAAGCCCAAUGUCUGAUCUUGGAAGCUAAGCAGGGUCGGGCCUGGUUAGUACUUGGUUGGGGGACCACCUAGGAAGACCAGGUGCUGUAGGCA